AGCGAACGCUGGCGGCAGGCCUAACACAUGCAAGUCGAACGAACCUUUCGGGGUUAGUGGCGGACGGGUGAGUAACACGUGGGAACGUGCCUUUAGGUUCGGAGUAACUCAGGGAAACUUGUGCUAAUACCGAAUGUGCCCUUCGGGGGAAAGAUUAAUCGCCUUUAGAGCGGCCCGCGUCUGAUUAGCUAGUUGGUUGAGGUAAUGGCUCACCAAGGCGACGAUCAGUAGCUGGUCUGAGAGGAUGAUCAGCCACAUUGGGACUGAGACACGGCCCAAACUCCUACGGGAGGCAGCAGUGGGGAAUCUUGCGCAAUGGGCGAAAGCCUGACGCAGCCAUGCCGCGUGAAUGAUGAAGGUCUUAGGAUUGUAAAAUUCUUUCACCGGGGACGAUAAUGACGGUACCCGGAGAAGAAGCCCCGGCUAACUUCGUG
Molecule: ribosomal RNA, 434 nt
Filed under: uncultured bacterium
Lineage: Bacteria
Description: partial 16S ribosomal RNA
Rfam family: Bacterial small subunit ribosomal RNA
Source: RNAcentral